GGCCUCGUAGUUCAACUGUUAGAGUGUGCGCUGUACAAAGCGUAGGCGGUGUCCAUGCCUGGGUUCGAAUCCCACCGAGGUUA
Molecule: transfer RNA, 83 nt
Filed under: Echinostoma caproni
Lineage: Eukaryota; Metazoa; Platyhelminthes; Trematoda; Plagiorchiida; Echinostomatidae
Rfam family: tRNA
About the family: Transfer RNA (tRNA) molecules are approximately 80 nucleotides in length. Their secondary structure includes four short double-helical elements and three loops (D, anti-codon, and T loops). Further hydrogen bonds mediate the characteristic L-shaped molecular structure. tRNAs have two regions of fundamental functional importance: the anti-codon, which is responsible for specific mRNA codon recognition, and the 3' end, to which the tRNAs corresponding amino acid is attached (by aminoacyl-tRNA synthetases). tRNAs cope with the degeneracy of the genetic code in two manners: having more than one tRNA (with a specific anti-codon) for a particular amino acid; and 'wobble' base-pairing, i.e. permitting non-standard base-pairing at the 3rd anti-codon position.
Source: Rfam by way of RNAcentral